This 568-nucleotide small RNA is filed under the name Pongo abelii (Sumatran orangutan). Its description in RNAcentral is "processed transcript". Lineage: Eukaryota; Metazoa; Chordata; Mammalia; Primates; Hominidae. The record is from RNAcentral.
AUUCCAUGCAGCUAAAAGCAGUCAGCUAGAACCAGUUUUUGAGAUGAGAUGAAAACUAACUAUCUGGCUUCCCUGGCCCAAAUGGAAAUAUGCCCAAAACCGAGAACGAGGUGCCCUCGCCAGCCUCCUCUCAUCACAGUAGCAACCAGCCAGCCUCGCUGACGGAAGAGAAGCGCACCCCGCAGGGCAGCCAGAACUCGCUGAACACGGUGAGCUCGGGCAGCGGCAGCACCAGCGGCAUCGGCAGUGGCGGCGGCGGGGGUAGCGGUGUGGUCAGCACCGUGGUGCAGCCCUACGACGUGGAGAUCAGGCGCGGGGAGAACGAGGGCUUCGGCUUCGUCAUCGUGUCCUCGGUGAGCAGGCCCGAAGCAGGCACGACCUUUGCAGGCAAUGCAUGUGUGGCUAUGCCUCACAAAAUAGGUCGGAUUAUUGAGGGGAGCCCUGCUGACCGCUGUGGCAAGCUGAAAGUAGGAGACCGGAUCUUGGCAGUAAAUGGAUGUUCCAUCACCAACAAAUCCCAUUCAGACAUUGUGAACCUUAUCAAGGAAGCGGGAAACACAGUUACCCU